CCGCUGAACUAACAUAUCAAUAAGCGGAGGAAAAGAACUAACAAGGAUUCCCCUAGUAACGGCGAGUGAAGCGGGAAGAGCUCAAAUUUGUAAUCUGGCGGUUUUCAAUCGUCCGAGUUGUAGUCUAGAGAAGUGUUUUCCGUGCUGGACCGUGUACAAGUCCCUUGGAACAGGGCGUCAUAGAGGGUGAGAAUCCCGUCUUUGACACGGACUCCCAGUGCUAUGUGAUACACUCUCAAAGAGUCGAGUUGUUUGGGAAUGCAGCUCAAAAUGGGUGGUAAAUUCCAUCUAAAGCUAAAUAUUGGUGGAAGACCGAUAGCGAACAAGUACCGUGAGGGAAAGAUGAAAAGCACUUUGGAAAGAGAGUUAAACAGUACGUGAAAUUGUUGAAAGGGAAACGCCUGAAGUCAGUCGCGUCUUUCAGGAUUCAGCUUGACUUUGGGUCUUGUCUAUUUCCUGGCUGACGGGCCAGCAUCAAUUUUAAUCAUUGGAUAAAGUCUUGGGAAUGUGGCACCUCCGGGUGUGUUAUAGCCCUUUGAUGUAUGUAAUGAUUGGGAUUGAGGACUGCAGCACGCCUUUAUGGCCGGGGUUCGCCCACGUUACGUGCUUAGGAUGCUGGCGUAAUGGCUUUAAGCGACCCGUCUUG
This 646-nucleotide ribosomal RNA is filed under the name Sphaerobolus stellatus. Its description in RNAcentral is "eukaryotic LSU rRNA". It matches the Rfam family "Eukaryotic large subunit ribosomal RNA", at positions 25 to 656 of the family's 3401-position model. The record is from RNAcentral. Lineage: Eukaryota; Fungi; Basidiomycota; Agaricomycetes; Geastrales; Sphaerobolaceae.